This 366-nucleotide long non-coding RNA is filed under the name Pan troglodytes (chimpanzee). RNAcentral's name for it is "long non-coding RNA NONPTRT008221". The record is from RNAcentral. Lineage: Eukaryota; Metazoa; Chordata; Mammalia; Primates; Hominidae.
AUUCAGGAUUGACUUCUAAAGACUCUUGGUACGUGAGGAAGAAACCCGGAAGAGGAAGAGGAGAGCAAAGGAGUCAGGGAUGGCUUUUUCUCAGGGUCUAUUGACAUUCAGGGAUGUGGCCAUAGAAUUCUCUCAGGAGGAGUGGAAGUGCCUGGACCCUGCUCAGAGGACUCUAUACAGGGACGUGAUGCUGGAGAAUUAUAGGAACCUGGUCUCCCUGGACAGGGUCUUGCUGUGUUGUUGAAAUUCAUCUUGAUCUCCUGAGCUCAAGAGAUCCUCCUCAGUCUCCCGAGUAGCUGAGAUUACAGGCGCCAACCACCAUACCUAAUUAUUGGUUUUUAUUUUUAAGAUUUUUGCAUAUGUGCG